RNAcentral lists this transfer RNA (97 nucleotides) under Leptotrichia sp. RNAcentral describes it as "tRNA-Sec". It matches the Rfam family "Selenocysteine transfer RNA". RNAcentral also lists the same sequence under 3 other names. Lineage: Bacteria; Fusobacteriati; Fusobacteriota; Fusobacteriia; Fusobacteriales; Leptotrichiaceae. The record is from RNAcentral.
GGGAGUGGAUGAGUUCUGGUGUUCUCUCCGGUCUUCAAAACCGGCGUGAGGGGUUAGGAGCCUCUCAGGUGGGUUCGAUUCCCACACAUUCCCGCCA